RNAcentral lists this ribosomal RNA (497 nucleotides) under uncultured bacterium. RNAcentral describes it as "partial 16S ribosomal RNA". It matches the Rfam family "Bacterial small subunit ribosomal RNA", at positions 28 to 507 of the family's 1533-position model. The record is from RNAcentral.
GACGAACGCUGGCGGCGUGCCUAAUACAUGCAAGUUGAGCGAUGAAGAUUGGUGCUUGCACCAAUUCGAAGAGCAGCGAACGGGUGAGUAACGCGUGGGGAAUCUGCCUUUGAGCGGGGGACAACAUUUGGAAACGAAUGCUAAUACCGCAUAACAACUUUAAACAUAAGUUUUAAGUUUGAAAGAUGCAAUUGCAUCACUCAAAGAUGAUCCCGCGUUGUAUUAGCUAGUUGGUGAGGUAAAGGCUCACCAAGGCGAUGAUACAUAGCCGACCUGAGAGGGUGAUCGGCCACAUUGGGACUGAGACACGGCCCAAACUCCUACGGGAGGCAGCAGUAGGGAAUCUUCGGCAAUGGACGAAAGUCUGACCGAGCAACGCCGCGUGAGUGAAGAAGGUUUUCGGAUCGUAAAACUCUGUUGGUAGAGAAGAACGUUGGUGAGAGUGGAAAGCUCAUCAAGUGACGGUAACUACCCAGAAAGGGACGGCUAACUACGUG